Molecule: ribosomal RNA, 433 nt
Filed under: uncultured bacterium
Lineage: Bacteria
Description: partial 16S ribosomal RNA
Rfam family: Bacterial small subunit ribosomal RNA
Source: RNAcentral
AACGAACGCUGGCGGCAUGCCUAACACAUGCCAGUCGAACGAAGGCUUCGGCCUUAGUGGCGCACGGGUGCGUAACGCGUGGGAAUCUGCCCUUAGGUUCGGAAUAACAGUUAGAAAUGACUGCUAAUACCGGAUGAUGACGUAAGUCCAAAGAUUUAUCGCCUGAGGAUGAGCCCGCGUAGGAUUAGCUAGUUGGUGUGGUAAAGGCGCACCAAGGCGACGAUCCUUAGCUGGUCUGAGAGGAUGAUCAGCCACACUGGGACUGAGACACGGCCCAGACUCCUACGGGAGGCGGCAGUGGGGAAUAUUGGACAAUGGGCGCAAGCCUGAUCCAGCAAUGCCGCGUGAGUGAUGAAGGCCUUAGGGUUGUAAAGCUCUUUUACCCGUGAUGAUAAUGACAGUAGCGGGAGAAUAAGCCCCGGCUAACUCCGUG